UGGGCAACCUGCCCUCAGCUCUGGGAUGACUCCAAGAAAUUGGGGCUAAUACCGGAUAUGACUGCUGACCGCAUGGUCUGGUGGUGGAAAGAUUUAUCGGCUGGGGAUGGGCCCGCGGCCUAUCAGCUUGUUGGUGGGGUAGUGGCCUACCAAGGCGACGACGGGUAGCCGGCCUGAGAGGGUGACCGGCCACACUGGGACUGAGACACGGCCCAGACUCCUACGGGAG
RNAcentral lists this ribosomal RNA (229 nucleotides) under uncultured bacterium. RNAcentral's name for it is "partial 16S ribosomal RNA". It matches the Rfam family "Bacterial small subunit ribosomal RNA", at positions 118 to 347 of the family's 1533-position model. The record is from RNAcentral.